UGGUGUCCAAGGCCCUGAAGGCCGCAGCCGCCCGUACCUAUCUCCAGCUGCUGCAGCUCCUGCUCAGGAAAGGUGGCCUUUCGCUCGGGGACUCCUCAGACCUCCCACUACAAAACAGAGAGCACACGUGGUGAGGAGGGAACAGGCCAGGCCUGGUGGCCUUUUCUGAGCAGAGGAGCGCCAGAAGUGGGCAGGGAGGGCGGCCCCUCGCACAGCCAGGACACGGUUUCAGAGGGCGCUGCGUGGUCUUCACAGGAGGCUUCUUCCUUAAGAUCAGUCCUCUCAUGAAAAUAGAACAGUAUUUCUUUUAUUCCCUUUUCCUUCCAGGUAACAGUUGCAAGUUUAAAAAUUAUAGAAUUGGCUCCAGAGAAGGACUUUGUUAAUAUUAAUAGUAUUAUAAAGGGAAGAUUUAAAAAUAGCUCUGGGGUAAUGCCCACUCAUAGCUUCCAGGAGAAUGGGCCUCGCUGACCCUCCAUAUCUUACCCUUCCCUUCCCGAUAGCCGGUGCUUCCCGAGGGGGCACUAUUUCUCUGGAGCUGGGGGCAGCAGUUCAGCCGUUAUAAAUGGGGGGCCAUUAUAACACCAUCUACGCUUGGGGUGGGGGCUAUGUAAGGUCUCUCUCCUGUUUUACUCAUUCCCUAUUCGUUCUCCUCACCACUGCCUUUCAAGCCCUGCCACUUCCCUCCCUUGCACCCCACUGACGUUCUAUCUUAAGUAGACAUCAAAAGUGCAAUAUGUCACUUUAGGUUCCACUGAA
Molecule: long non-coding RNA, 756 nt
Organism: Odocoileus virginianus texanus
Lineage: Eukaryota; Metazoa; Chordata; Mammalia; Artiodactyla; Cervidae
Source: RefSeq, a predicted model, not a curated record